UGGGGAAUAUUGGACAAUGGGCGAAAGCCUGAUCCAGCCAUGCCGCGUGUGUGAAGAAGGUCUUCGGAUUGUAAAGCACUUUAAGUUGGGAGGAAGGGCAGUAAGCGAAUACCUUGCUGUUUUGACGUUACCGACAGAAUAAGCACCGGCUAACUCUGUGCCAGCAGCCGCGGUAAUACAGAGGGUGCAAGCGUUAAUCGGAAUUACUGGGCGUAAAGCGCGCGUAGGUGGUUCGUUAAGUUGAAUGUGAAAGCCCCGGGCUCAACCUGGGAACUGCAUCCAAAACUGGCGAGCUAGAGUAGGGCAGAGGGUGGGGGAAUUUCCUGUGUAGCGGAGAAAUGCGUAGAUAUAGGAAGGAACACCAGAGGAGAAGGCGACCACCUGAGCUCAUACUGACACUGAGGUGCGAAAGCGUGGGGAGCAAACAGG
Molecule: ribosomal RNA, 429 nt
Filed under: Pseudomonadota bacterium
Lineage: Bacteria; Pseudomonadati; Pseudomonadota
Description: Proteobacteria bacterium partial 16S ribosomal RNA
Rfam family: Bacterial small subunit ribosomal RNA
Source: RNAcentral